GUGGGGAAUAUUGCGCAAUGGGGGAAACCCUGACGCAGCGACGCCGCGUGAAGGAUGAAGGCCUUCGGGUUGUAAACUUCUUUUGGAGGGGACGAAUAAAUUGACGGUACCCUCAGAAAAAGCCACGGCUAACUACGUGCCAGCAGCCGCGGUAAUACGUAGGUGGCGAGCGUUACUCGGAAUUACUAGGCGUAAAGCGUAUGUAGGCGGUUGUAUAAGUCUAUGGUGAAAUUUCCUGGCUCAACUGGGAAGGGACAUAGAUACUGUAUGGCUUGAGUGUUGGAGGGGGAGACGGAAUUCCUGGUGUAGCGGUGAAAUGCGUAGAUAUCAGGAGGAACACCGAUGGCGAAAGCAGUCUCCUGGCCAAAUACUGACGCUGAGGUACGAAAGCUAGGGUAGCAAACAGGAUUAGAUACCCGGGUAGUCC
RNAcentral lists this ribosomal RNA (427 nucleotides) under uncultured bacterium. Its description in RNAcentral is "partial 16S ribosomal RNA". It matches the Rfam family "Bacterial small subunit ribosomal RNA", at positions 354 to 796 of the family's 1533-position model. The record is from RNAcentral.